RNAcentral lists this ribosomal RNA (674 nucleotides) under uncultured bacterium. Its description in RNAcentral is "bacterial SSU rRNA". It matches the Rfam family "Bacterial small subunit ribosomal RNA", at positions 79 to 748 of the family's 1533-position model. The record is from RNAcentral.
CUUGCUUCUCUUGAGAGCGGCGGACGGGUGAGUAAUGCCUAGGAAUCUGCCUGGUAGUGGGGGAUAACGUCCGGAAACGGACGCUAAUACCGCAUACGUCCUACGGGAGAAAGCAGGGGACCUUCGGGCCUUGCGCUAUCAGAUGAGCCUAGGUCGGAUUAGCUAGUUGGUGGGGUAAUGGCUCACCAAGGCGACGAUCCGUAACUGGUCUGAGAGGAUGAUCAGUCACACUGGAACUGAGACACGGUCCAGACUCCUACGGGAGGCAGCAGUGGGGAAUAUUGGACAAUGGGCGAAAGCCUGAUCCAGCCAUGCCGCGUGUGUGAAGAAGGUCUUCGGAUUGUAAAGCACUUUAAGUUGGGAGGAAGGGCAGUAAAUUAAUACUUUGCUGUUUUGACGUUACCGACAGAAUAAGCACCGGCUAACUCUGUGCCAGCAGCCGCGGUAAUACAGAGGGUGCAAGCGUUAAUCGGAAUUACUGGGCGUAAAGCGCGCGUAGGUGGUUCGUUAAGUUGGAUGUGAAAUCCCCGGGCUCAACCUGGGAACUGCAUUCAAAACUGACGAGCUAGAGUAUGGUAGAGGGGUGGUGGAAUUUCCUGUGUAGCGGUGAAAUGCGUAGAUAUAGGAAGGAACACCAGUGGCGAAAGCGACCACCUGGACUGAUACUGACACUG